UUCAACGGCCGCGGUACUCUGACCGUGCGAAGGUAGCAUAAUCACUUGUUCUUUAAUUGAGGACUCGUAUCAACGGCAUCACGAGGGCCACACUGUCUCCUUUUUCCAAUCAGUGAAACUGAUCUCCCCGUGAAGAAGCGGGGAUAAUCCUAUAAGACGAGAAGACCCCAUGGAGCUUUAAACCCAACAGCAACUCUGAAUAACUAAACCACAAAAAUUAAUUGAGCCCUGAAAUUGUUGGUUUUAGGUUGGGGUGACCGCGGAGCAUAGAUAAACCUCCACGACGAACGGGACUAAACCCUAAUCCAUGAACUACUGUUCUAAGAAUCAACACACUGACUUCUAAUGAUCCGACCCACUCGAUCAACGGACCAAGUUACCCUGGGGAUAACAGCGCUAUCCAUUUCAAGAGCCCCUAUCGACAAAUGGGUUUACGACCUCGAUGUUGGAUCAGGGUAUCCUAGUGGUGCAGCCGCUACUAAAGGUUUGUUUGUUCAACAAUUAAAACCCUAC
This 513-nucleotide ribosomal RNA is filed under the name Indirana duboisi. Its description in RNAcentral is "partial 16S ribosomal RNA". It matches the Rfam family "Bacterial large subunit ribosomal RNA", at positions 1923 to 2599 of the family's 2925-position model. Lineage: Eukaryota; Metazoa; Chordata; Amphibia; Anura; Ranixalidae. The record is from RNAcentral.